CACGUAGGCGGUCUGCUAAGUUCGGAGUGACAGUCACCAGCUUAACUGGUGAAGUACUUUGAAAACUGGCGGACUUGAGAGCGAAAGAGGGACAUGGAAUUCCGGGUGGAGCAGUGAAAUGCGUAGAGAUCCGGAGGAACACCAAAGGCGAAGGCAGUGUCCUGGCUCGUUUCUGACGCUGAGGUGCGAAAGCCAGGGGAGCGAACGGGAUUAGAUACCCCGGUAGUCCUGGCCGUAAACGAUGACCACUAGGCGUGGGAGGGAUCGGCCCCUUCCGUGCCGUAGUCAACACAUUAAGUGGUCCGCCUGGGGAGUACGGUCGCAAGACUAAA
Molecule: ribosomal RNA, 332 nt
Filed under: uncultured bacterium
Lineage: Bacteria
Description: bacterial SSU rRNA
Rfam family: Bacterial small subunit ribosomal RNA
Source: RNAcentral